RNAcentral lists this ribosomal RNA (513 nucleotides) under uncultured fungus. RNAcentral's name for it is "eukaryotic LSU rRNA". The stretch from base 170 to 323 matches the Rfam family "5.8S ribosomal RNA". Lineage: Eukaryota; Fungi. The record is from RNAcentral.
UCCGUAGGUGAACCUGCGGAAGGAUCAUUAUCAAAACAGCGGACUUCGGUCCUUGCUGCACCCUUGUCUUUUGCGUACCGUAUGUUUCCUCGGCGGGCUUGCCUGCCGGUUGGACAUUAUCAAACCUUUUUGUAGUUGCAAUCAGCGUCAGAAAACAAAUAAUAAUUACAACUUUCAACAACGGAUCUCUUGGUUCUGGCAUCGAUGAAGAACGCAGCGAAAUGCGAAAAGUAGUGUGAAUUGCAGAAUUCAGUGAAUCAUCGAAUCUUUGAACGCACAUUGCGCCCCUUGGUAUUCCAUGGGGCAUGCCUGUUCGAGCGUCAUUUUGUACCCUCAAGCACUGCUUGGUGUUGGGCGUUUGUCCUGCAAAGGACUCGCCUGAAAGCGAUUGGCGGCCAACGUACUGGUGGUAGAGCGCAGCACAAUUUGCGUCUCUCCCCUCUGCGUCGGCGUCCAUGAAGCCUUUUUUCAACGUUUGACCUCGGAUCAGGUAGGGAUACCCGCUGAACUUAA